Molecule: long non-coding RNA, 1483 nt
Filed under: Equus caballus (horse)
Lineage: Eukaryota; Metazoa; Chordata; Mammalia; Perissodactyla; Equidae
Description: lncRNA (ENSECAG00000060213.1)
Source: RNAcentral
UGUGGACUGGCAGGAGCCGGAGCGAGGUACCCCUCAGAAAUGUCCUAGCUGAGGAUCUGGAUAGAAGAAAGCUCGCCAGAGAAACCCAUAGCCGUGUAGCUUCAUUUGACCCUCUCAGAAUCAGCAUUGUGGCUAAACUCCAGUGGAGUCAGUUUCUCUCAUUGCUCUUCAUGUGGACCGUCUAUUUUUCUUUCAGAUUUCUAAGCUACCGCUGCAGAUAUCGAAGCACAAUCAAUUGUUCCUUAGUAAGUUGGAGGAUACUUUGAAAGUAGACCUGGAUUAGUCAUGGCACAAAAUUUUUUCAUCACAAAUAUUCCAAAAAAUAUUUCUCAAAGUUAGGAUAGACUUUCUGUGUUUUCCUGGGAGAUAACUAAUAUUCUGGAAGGACACUCUCACAUGGCAUGCCCAUAUCAGCCUAGCCAAGGCUCAGGGCUCCUAGUUUGGUCAUUCAGGAUAACUUUGAUGUCCCAACACAUGUUCCCUAGAGGAUAACACUUAUCUGUGGCCCACUUAAUGAUAAUAGUAACAAUAAUGACUAAAUCUGCAUAGUAACUUGGAGUUUGCAAAUCCUUCAAAUAUCUACAAAUGUGUGCUCCUUAACAAUCUUUCCACUAGGGCCCUCUCACCCUGUGUCUUUGUCUUCAUAUUCUUUCCACACCAGAAACCAUCCUGGUUGAAUUUCCGGAUUUUGGUAGUGUUACACUAAGCUCAGCCUUGAGAAGGUAGGGGAUAGGGAUUAGCCUUUUUGGUGUUCAGUGCGCUAUCAAGUCAUGCCGCUGCUCAUAUUAGUUUCCAAAGACUUAGAAAUAAAGAUUUUUGUAGUUAGUGCUGAAAGCAGAUCGGCUGAAGUAGAUGAAACAUUAAGACAGCAACUGCUUUAUGCCUCUUGGUACACCCUGCAAGUCAUUCAACAACCUGCUCUAAGAACCACACUUUUGCAGGCUCCUUUAUAUACAUUCUAUACUAUGGGAUGAACAUUGAAUUUAUAGAAAGAUCACACUGAGAUGGUCUAAGGCACUCUGCUGCCUGGAAGAUAAAGAAGCCAAGGUAAGCUUCUCGAAGCUUUAGAAGUAGGAAAGACAGAGUAGACAAUACAAAUUGCAUAACCCAAAGCUGAGGUCUAUGCCAUUGCUUUAAUCUUGUUUUCUAUUCCCUAGUGUUCAGCCUACCCAUUACACCCUUAUUUCCAUGCCCACACUAGAUUCUCCUGAUAGAAGACUUCUGUGAAGCUAUUCCCAAAGCCGCAUUAUCUAAGAGAAGCUGGAGAAUACUUUAGAAAGCGAUUUGUAUCAAAUGGAAACUGAAGGUUCCCCCACAAGAGAUCUUCACGAUUUGAUACUUGAGCCCCAGGCUGGUGCCUCCAUGGACAUAGACGGACCUGCAUUUUCUUGGUCCCUGGUAUUGCCGGUAGUGAGGGCUCCGUGCCUGGGACUCAGGAGGGGAAUUGCUCCUGGCUCUGUCCCUUUUAGUACGUCACCCUCCC